This 926-nucleotide ribosomal RNA is filed under the name uncultured bacterium. Its description in RNAcentral is "bacterial SSU rRNA". It matches the Rfam family "Bacterial small subunit ribosomal RNA", at positions 54 to 973 of the family's 1533-position model. The record is from RNAcentral.
CAUGCAGUCGAACGGUAACAUUGGUGCUUGCACCAGAUGACGAGUGGCGCACGGGUGCGUAACGCGUAUGCAAUCUACCUUUUACUAGAGUAUAGCCCAGAGAAAUUUGGAUUAAUCCUCUAUAAUAUCUUUUAAUUUCAUGAUUUUAAGAUUAAAGUUUUAACGGUAAAAGAUGAGCAUGCGUCCUAUUAGUUUGUAGGUGAGGUAACGGCUCACCUAGACUACGAUAGGUAGGGGCCCUGAGAGGGGGAUCCCCCACACUGGUACUGAGACACGGACCAGACUCCUACGGGAGGCAGUAGUAAGGAAUAUUGGACAAUGGACGAAAGUCUGAUCCAGCCAUGCCGCGUGCAGGAUGAAAGCCCUACGGGUUGUAAACUGCUUUUAUACAGGAAGAAACACUCCGACGUGUCGGAGCUUGACGGUACUGUAAGAAUAAGGAUCGGCUAACUCCGUGCCAGCAGCCGCGGUAAUACGGAGGAUCCAAGCGUUAUCCGGAAUCAUUGGGUUUAAAGGGUCCGCAGGCUGUUUUUUAAGUCAGAGGUGAAAUCCUACAGCUCAACUGUAGAACUGCCUUUGAUACUGAAAAACUUGAGUUAUUGUGAAGUGGUUAGAAUGUGUGGUGUAGCGGUGAAAUGCAUAGAUAUCACACAGAAUACCGAUUGCGAAGGCAGAUCACUAACAAUAUACUGACGCUCAUGGACGAAAGCGUGGGGGAGCGAACAGGAUUAGAUACCCUGGUAGUCCACGCCGUAAACGAUGGAUACUAGCUGUUCGUCUAACAUUGGUUAGAUGAGUGGCUAAGCGAAAGUGAUAAGUAUCCCACCUGGGGAGUACGGUCGCAAGACUGAAACUCAAAGGAAUUGACGGGGGCCCGCACAAGCGUGGAGCAUGUGGUUUAAUUCGAUGAUACGCGAGGAACCUUA